This 301-nucleotide ribosomal RNA is filed under the name uncultured bacterium. RNAcentral describes it as "partial 16S ribosomal RNA". It matches the Rfam family "Bacterial small subunit ribosomal RNA", at positions 509 to 809 of the family's 1533-position model. The record is from RNAcentral.
CAGCCGCCGCGGGAAUACGGAGGGUGCAAGCGUUAAUCGGAAUUACUGGGCGUAAAGCGCACGCAGGCGGUCUGACAAGUCAGAUGUGAAAUCCCCGGGCUUAACCUGGGAACUGCAUUUGAAACUGUCAGGCUGGAGUCUUGUAGAGGGGGGUAGAAUUCCAGGUGUAGCGGUGAAAUGCGUAGAGAUCUGGAGGAAUACCGGUGGCGAAGGCGGCCCCCUGGACAAAGACUGACGCUCAGGUGCGAAAGCGUGGGGAGCAAACAGGAUUAGAUACCCGUGUAGUCCCUGUCUCUUAUAU